This 490-nucleotide ribosomal RNA is filed under the name uncultured bacterium. Its description in RNAcentral is "partial 16S ribosomal RNA". It matches the Rfam family "Bacterial small subunit ribosomal RNA", at positions 28 to 507 of the family's 1533-position model. The record is from RNAcentral.
GAUGAACGCUAGCUACAGGCUUAACACAUGCAAGUCGCGGGGCAGCAUGGGGGUUGCUUGCAAUCCCCGAUGGCGACCGGCGCACGGGUGAGUAACGCGUAUUCAACCUGCCCUUCACCACGGGAUAACCCGGCGAAAGUCGGACUAAUACCGUAUGUUGUCCAUUGACGGCAUCCGAUUUGGACGAAAGGCUUGGCGGUGAGGGAUGGGGAUGCGUCCGAUUAGCCAGACGGCGGGGUAACGGCCCACCGUGGCUACGAUCGGUAGGGGUUCUGAGAGGAAGGUCCCCCACACUGGAACUGAGACACGGUCCAGACCCCUACGGGAGGCAGCAGUGAGGAAUAUUGGUCAAUGGGCGUAAGCCUGAACCAGCCAAGUAGCGUGCAGGAUGACGGCCCUAUGGGUUGUAAACUGCUUUUAUGCGGGGAUAAAGUGGCCCACGUGUGGGCUUUUGCAGGUACCGCAUGAAUAAGGACCGGCUAAUUCCGUG